GAAAGGAUCACUCGAUGCGGGCACGGCAAACUACCACUUGUCAUUCCAGAAGGGAGGAUAAGGCUGGAGGCACCUCUUCUUGCUGCAAAGUUUGCAACUGAAUGCAACGUCACAGUCAGACACCAUAUGCCUGUGUUUAAGCGCUGGAAGGAUUACAAGGACCCAAAUGGAGAUGUACGAGAUGGGAUCUUCAGGAACUUCAUAGGCAAAAACAAGUUUCAGAUGGACGUAGAUGUUGUGCCAGUUAGGAAGGCUUGUACUGAAAUGGUGAAACGUGCGACUCGCCAACAACGAUAUAGGCUCAAGAAAGAGUUUUUUGACCCUCACCCACUCCAUUUGGUGACGAGAACUUCUCCUGUCCCCUCGAUGACUGAUGAGCAGUGGAAUGAGCUGGUGGAAAGCUGGAAGGAUCCCAAAAAGAUGGGGAUAUGUCAAAUUAACAAAAAUAAUCGAGCUCAAGUUAAGUUUCACCAAACUACUGGCGCGUGCAGCUAUCCUGUGCAUUGUGAUAAUCUGGGCGACAAAUACAAAGAUAAAGAACCCACUGCAUUGGAUUUGUUCAAGGAGUGUCACUACAGCAAGAAAAAUAAAAGCUACACUGAUGUCGUGCAAGCUGCA
RNAcentral lists this ribosomal RNA (618 nucleotides) under Triticum aestivum (bread wheat). RNAcentral describes it as "partial small subunit ribosomal RNA". The record is from RNAcentral. Lineage: Eukaryota; Viridiplantae; Streptophyta; Magnoliopsida; Poales; Poaceae.